CGAAUCAUCUGGAAAGAUGAAUCAAAGAAGGUAAUAAUCCUGUAGUCGAAAAUGUUGUCUCUCUUGAGUGGAUCCUGAGUACGACGGAGCACGUGAAAUUCCGUCGGAAUCUGGGAGGACCAUCUCCUAAGGCUAAAUACUCUCUAGUGACCGAUAGUGAACCAGUACCGUGAGGGAAAGGUGAAAAGCACCCCGGAAGGGGAGUGAAAUAGAACCUGAAACCGUGUGCUUACAAGUAGUCAGAGCCCGUUAAUGGGUGAUGGCGUGCCUUUUGUAGAAUGAACCGGCGAGUUACGAUUUGAUGCAAGGUUAAGCAGUAAAUGUGGAGCCGUAGCGAAAGCGAGUCUGAAUAGGGCGUUUAGUAUUUGGUCGUAGACCCGAAACCAGGUGAUCUACCCUUGGUCAGGUUGAAGUUCAGGUAACACUGAAUGGAGGACCGAACCGACUUACGUUGAAAAGUGAGCGGAUGAACUGAGGGUAGCGGAGAAAUUCCAAUCGAACCUGGAGAUAGCUGGUUCUCUCCGAAAUAGCUUUAGGGCUAGCCUCAAGUGAUGAUUAUUGGAGGUAGAGCACUGUUUGGACGAGGGGCCCCUCUCGGGUUACCGAAUUCAGACAAACUCCGAAUGCCAAUUAAUUUAACUUGGGAGUCAGAACAUGGGUGAUAAGGUCCGUGUUCGAAAGGGAAACAGCCCAGACCACCAGCUAAGGUCCCAAAAUAUAUGUUAAGUGGAAAAGGAUGUGGCGUUGCCCAGACAACUAGGAUGUUGGCUUAGAAGCAGCCAUCAUUUAAAGAGUGCGUAAUAGCUCACUAGUCGAGUGACACUGCGCCGA
RNAcentral lists this ribosomal RNA (831 nucleotides) under Staphylococcus aureus. RNAcentral describes it as "partial 23S ribosomal RNA". It matches the Rfam family "Bacterial large subunit ribosomal RNA", at positions 334 to 1167 of the family's 2925-position model. The record is from RNAcentral. Lineage: Bacteria; Bacillati; Bacillota; Bacilli; Caryophanales; Staphylococcaceae.